RNAcentral lists this ribosomal RNA (491 nucleotides) under uncultured bacterium. Its description in RNAcentral is "partial 16S ribosomal RNA". It matches the Rfam family "Bacterial small subunit ribosomal RNA", at positions 29 to 507 of the family's 1533-position model. The record is from RNAcentral.
GUGAACGCUGGCCGUAGGCCUAACACCUGCCAGUCGAACGGCAGCACAGUAAGAGCUUGCUCUUACGGGUGGCGAGUGGCGGACGGGUGAGGAAUACAUCGGAAUCUACUUUUUCGUGGGGGAUAACGUAGGGAAACUUACGCUAAUACCGCAUACGACCUACGGGUGAAAGCAGGGGAUCUUCGGACCUUGCGCGAUUGAAUGAGCCGAUGUCGGAUUAGCUAGUUGGCGGGGUAAAGGCCCACCAAGGCGACGAUCCGUAGCUGGUCUGAGAGGAUGAUCAGCCACACUGGAACUGAGACACGGUCCAGACUCCUACGGGAGGCAGCAGUGGGGAAUAUUGGACAAUGGGCGCAAGCCUGAUCCAGCCAUACCGCGUGGGUGAAGAAGGCCUUCGGGUUGUAAAGCCCUUUUGUUGGGAAAGAAAAGCAGCAGGUUAAUACCCCGCUGUUCUGACGGUACCCAAAGAAUAAGCACCGGCUAACUUCGUG